AGAGUUUGAUCAUGGCUCAGAAUCAACGCUGGCGGCGUGCCUAACACAUGCAAGUCGAACGCGGUUCGUAGCAAUACGAACUGAGUGGCGAACGGGUGAGUAACACGUGGGUGACCUACCUUCGAGUGGGGGAUAACGUCCCGAAAGGGACGCUAAUACCGCAUAACAUCCUUCCUUUGAACAGGGGGAGAUCAAAGCCGGGGAUCGCAAGACCUGGCGCUUGAUGAGGGGCCCGCGUCUGAUUAGCUAGUUGGUGAGGUAAUGGCUCACCAAGGCGACGAUCAGUAUCCGGCCUGAGAGGGCGGACGGACACACUGGGACUGAGACACGGCCCAGACUCCUACGGGAGGCAGCAGUGGGGAAUUGUUCACAAUGGGCGCAAGCCUGAUGACGCAACGCCGCGUGGAGGAUGAAGGUCUUCGGAUUGUAAACUCCUGUUGCUCGGGACGAAAUGCUCCAACCUAAUACGUUGGAGUUUGACGGUACCGAGUGAGGAAGCCCCGGCUAACUCUGCGCCAGCAGCCGCGGUAAUACAGAGGGGGCAAGCGUUGUUCGGAAUUACUGGGCGUAAAGGGCGCGUAGGCGGCCUGUUAAGUCGAACGUGAAAUCCCCGGGCUCAACCCGGGGACUGCGUCCGAAACUGGCAGGCUCGAAUUCGGGAGAGGGAUGCGGAAUUCCAGGUGUAGCGGUGAAAUGCGUAGAUAUCUGGAGGAACAUCGGUGGCGAAGGCGGCAUCCUGGACCGAUAUUGACGCUGAGGCGCGAAAGCCAGGGGAGCAAACGGGAUUAGAUACCCCGGUAGUCCUGGCCCCUAAAC
This 816-nucleotide ribosomal RNA is filed under the name uncultured Acidobacteriota bacterium. RNAcentral's name for it is "bacterial SSU rRNA". It matches the Rfam family "Bacterial small subunit ribosomal RNA", at positions 8 to 807 of the family's 1533-position model. The record is from RNAcentral. Lineage: Bacteria; Pseudomonadati; Acidobacteriota.